AGAAAAAGCCUUUUGAGAUUACCGUACAAGAGACAGUUUUUGUUUUAUGCAAUAUGAUGUAUUCUCAGGAUUAUAAAAGGGCCUACUCAACUUCUUUUUUUGCCUGUUUUCGUGAUAACCAGGCGAUUUCGUUAUCACGAGGAAACAGGAUAUUUUUCUUAUGAUGAAAGACCACGCCCCAAGUGUCAUGCAUUCAUUCCAUCCUGCCCCUCUCGUGCAUCAUUCUGUUACCGUGUAGACGGCCUGAUCCCCUCAUCUGGUCACUGAGGACAUUGACAACUGAGGACAUUGACAACUGCAGGAUUACUGGGCCAACCUUCUCCUCAAAUGACGAUGACGGAUUUGGACGUUGAUACUUGGCUAUGCACAGCAGUUCACCAGAAAAAAUUGAUUUGAUGACGCAAUCCUACCAUCGUGAUGCAGCAAAGCCCCAUGCUCGGUUCGUUUCUUCAUGUCAUACAACUGGAUGGUCUCAUCUUUGCUCCCUGUGGCAACAAACCUCUGGCUGGCAGCUACAGCUGAGAUGGAAGCUGUGUGAGUGUGAUGAGUGAAGUCGGCCUCAGCGGUCCACUC
This is a long non-coding RNA of Oryzias latipes (Japanese medaka), 573 nucleotides long. RefSeq lists it as uncharacterized. Lineage: Eukaryota; Metazoa; Chordata; Actinopteri; Beloniformes; Adrianichthyidae. The record is from RefSeq and is a predicted model, not a curated record.